This 253-nucleotide ribosomal RNA is filed under the name uncultured bacterium. RNAcentral's name for it is "partial 16S ribosomal RNA". It matches the Rfam family "Bacterial small subunit ribosomal RNA", at positions 524 to 776 of the family's 1533-position model. The record is from RNAcentral.
UACGUAGGGGGCGAGCGUUGUCCGGAUUUACUGGGCUUAAAGCGCGUGUAGGCGGCUUCUUAAGUCGGGUGUGAAAGCCCGGGGCUCAACCCCGGGAUGCCGCCCGAGACUGGGAGGCUUGAGGUCGGAAGAGGGGAGUGGAAUUCCAGGUGUAGCGGUGAAAUGCGUAGAGAUCUGGAGGAACACCCGUGGCGAAGGCGGCUCCCUGGUCCGGUUCUGACGCUGAGACGCGAAAGCGCGGGGAGCGAACGGG